RNAcentral lists this ribosomal RNA (232 nucleotides) under Cutibacterium avidum. RNAcentral describes it as "partial 23S ribosomal RNA". It matches the Rfam family "Bacterial large subunit ribosomal RNA", at positions 2699 to 2925 of the family's 2925-position model. The record is from RNAcentral. Lineage: Bacteria; Bacillati; Actinomycetota; Actinomycetes; Propionibacteriales; Propionibacteriaceae.
GGACUGACCUCUGGUGUGCCAGUUGUUCUGCCAAGGGCAUGGCUGGUUGGCUACGUCGGGUUGUGAUAACCGCUGAAAGCAUCUAAGCGGGAAGCACGCUUCAAGAUGAGGGUUCCUGCAGAUGAAUCUGGUAAGGUCUCCGGUAGACGACCGGGUUGAUAGGCCAGGCGUGGACGCAUCGUAAGGUGUGGAGCUGACUGGUACUAAUAGACCGAGGACUUACACAACAUUC